CUACUCUGGCUUCUCUUCAACGUAUGAUUCUUUCGCCGUUUACUAAAGAAUUCCGUGGAGAGGAGCAGUUCAAUGAGUCUUGAACAUUUUUCGAUAUCCGACUUUGGAAAA
Molecule: small nuclear RNA, 111 nt
Gene: U5
Rfam family: U5 spliceosomal RNA
About the family: U5 RNA is a component of both types of known spliceosome.
Source: Ensembl